Long non-coding RNA from Lepisosteus oculatus (spotted gar), 359 nucleotides. RefSeq lists it as uncharacterized. Lineage: Eukaryota; Metazoa; Chordata; Actinopteri; Semionotiformes; Lepisosteidae. The record is from RefSeq and is a predicted model, not a curated record.
CUUCAAUCAGAUAAGGCGGGGAGCCCGGAGUCCGCGGUCCGAUCGGGCACAGCGCGAACGGAACCGAGGAGGCGGAGUGCCCGGGUCCACUCCACGACAAGACGCCCUUCUCCCGGCGCCACCGCUGCCCAUGGCGAAUAUGCAGGACAGAUAUGGUUGGAAUUCAUGAACCGAUGAAAGACACUUGGUAAACGAGAGAGAGGCAACAGACAGCGCAGGAAUGAAGAAUAAAACGUUCUCGGUGAAACAGCAAAUGUUGGACUGGGCACCCUGAAAAAUCACUCUGAAUUACGGGCAUCUGUCUACACAAUUGUGGAGUUGAAAUUUGAAAAAUGAAAAAAGAUACUAAUAAUCAACCA